GACAGAGGAUGCAAGCGUUAUCCAGAAUGAUUAGGCGUAAAGCGCCUGUAGGUGGCUUUUUAAGUCCGCCGUUAAAUCCUAGGGCUCAACCCUGGACAGGCGGUGGAAACUACCAAGCUGGAGUGCGGUAGGGGUAGAGGGAAUUUCCGGUGGAGCGGUGAAAUGCGUAGAGAUCGGAAAGAACACCAACGGCGAAAGCACUCUGCUGGGCCGACACUGACACUAAGAGACGAAAGCUAGGGGAACGAAUGGG
Molecule: ribosomal RNA, 253 nt
Filed under: uncultured bacterium
Lineage: Bacteria
Description: partial 16S ribosomal RNA
Rfam family: Bacterial small subunit ribosomal RNA
Source: RNAcentral